AACGUAGGAGGCAAGCGUUAUCCGAAUUUACUGGGUGUAAAGCGCGUGCAGGCGGUUGGGUAAGUUGGAUGUGAAAUCUCCUGGCUCAACUGGGAGAGGUCGUUCAAUACUGCCUGGCUCGAGGGUGGUAGAGGGAGGUGGAAUUCCGGGUGUAGUAGUGAAAUGCGUAGAUAUCCGGAGGAACACCUGUGGCGAAAGCGGCCUCCUGGACCACACCUGACGCUCAGACGCGAAAGCUAGGGGAGCGAACGGG
RNAcentral lists this ribosomal RNA (253 nucleotides) under uncultured Bellilinea sp. RNAcentral's name for it is "partial 16S ribosomal RNA". It matches the Rfam family "Bacterial small subunit ribosomal RNA", at positions 524 to 776 of the family's 1533-position model. The record is from RNAcentral. Lineage: Bacteria; Bacillati; Chloroflexota; Anaerolineae; Anaerolineales; Anaerolineaceae.